Molecule: long non-coding RNA, 766 nt
Organism: Astatotilapia calliptera (eastern happy)
Lineage: Eukaryota; Metazoa; Chordata; Actinopteri; Cichliformes; Cichlidae
Source: Ensembl
GCUUCAGUUUCAGUAUUUUUAUCAGUCCUUUUGAAAAAUAUUAGGUGAGCUACACUCUUCUGUUUCUGAGAAACCUUAAACAUCAUUAUAGAGCUCUGCCCUUGUUCAUGUUGUAGAGGAGCAUCAACUGUGGAACAUUUUAAAGGACUAUGACUGUUUUAGAUGUUUUUAAUCUGUUAACCUCCACCAGGUUAGCAGUAAGCAGUCUAGGAUUAUAGGUCGGGUUAGUAUUUGACAUAUUCAAGUUGGAAAAUUUGACAAAUGUUUAUGUUAUUAUUCUGUAGGAUGUAUUCUGGGAUGUUUUUAACCUUGUUCCACUCCAGUGGUAUACUCAUCUCAUUUUGAUGCACCACAGUCACAUUAUUAACACUUUGUGGAGCUAAAGAUAACAGAGGAAAGUGGCUUUGAUUAAAAAAAACACACAAAAAAAAAAACAACAACUCUCCAUCAGCUAAAGUUUCAAGUACUAAUGAGCUGGUCCAUCCUGGUUUAUCUGUCUAUGUUAGAGAAAAUAUAUCUUACCAGUGACUGUGAUGCAGUUUACUCCACUGCUUCUGACAUUUCCAAACACAGUGAAGAGAGUGAAAGUGUAUCUGGUUCCACUGGUCAAAUUUAACACUCUGUAUUCGUUUUCAGAAUUACUAAUAUUGAUCUCUCUUUCAUUAAAUGCAAGAAUGUAUUUGUCGAUGUUGGGGACUGUUUUCCACUCCAGAGUUAUGCUGGUCUCAUCUUGUCCAUUUUUCUUAAAGUCGUCAGCAUUACGAGG